GUGCACGCUGGCGGUAGGCCUAACACAUGCAAGUCGAACGGCAGCACAGUAAGAGCUUGCUCUUACGGGUGGCGAGUGGCGGACGGGUGAGGAAUACAUCGGAAUCUACUUUUUCGUGGGGGAUAACGUAGGGAAACUUACGCUAAUACCGCAUACGACCUACGGGUGAAAGCAGGGGAUCUUCGGACCUUGCGCGAUUGAAUGAGCCGAUGUCGGAUUAGCUAGUUGGCGGGGUAAAGGCCCACCAAGGCGACGAUCCGUAGCUGGUCUGAGGGGAUGAUCAGCCACACUGGAACUGAGACACGGUCCAGACUCCUACGGGAGGCAGCAGUGGGGAAUAUUGGACAAUGGGCGCAAGCCUGAUCCAGCCAUACCGCGUGGGUGAAGAAGGCCUUCGGGUUGUAAAGCCCUUUUGUUGGGAAAGAAAAGCAGCAGGUUAAUACCCCGCUGUUCUGACGGUACCCAAAGAAUAAGCACCGGCUAACUUCGUG
This 491-nucleotide ribosomal RNA is filed under the name uncultured bacterium. Its description in RNAcentral is "partial 16S ribosomal RNA". It matches the Rfam family "Bacterial small subunit ribosomal RNA", at positions 29 to 507 of the family's 1533-position model. The record is from RNAcentral.